RNAcentral lists this unclassified non-coding RNA (333 nucleotides) under soil metagenome. RNAcentral's name for it is "partial contains 5.8S ribosomal RNA, internal transcribed spacer 2, and large subunit ribosomal RNA". The stretch from base 1 to 119 matches the Rfam family "5.8S ribosomal RNA", at positions 35 to 154 of the family's 154-position model. The record is from RNAcentral.
GAUGAAGAACGCAGCGAAAUGCGAUAAGUAAUGCGAAUUGCAGAAUCCGUGAAUCAUCGAAUCUUUGAACGCACAUUGCGCCCGCCAGUAUUCUGGCGGGCAUGCCUGUUCGAGCGUCAUUUCAACCAUCAAGCCCCCGGCUUGUGUUGGGGACCUGCGGCUGCCGCAGGCCCUGAAAUGCAGUGGCGGGCUCGCUGUCACUCCGAGCGUAGUAGUUACAUCUCGCUCUGGGCGUGCUGCGGGUUCCGGCCGUUAAAAGCCUUAUUUACCCAAGGUUGACCUCGGAUCAGGUAGGAAGACCCGCUGAACUUAAGCAUAUCAAUAAGCGGAGGA